Molecule: ribosomal RNA, 450 nt
Filed under: uncultured bacterium
Lineage: Bacteria
Description: bacterial SSU rRNA
Rfam family: Bacterial small subunit ribosomal RNA
Source: RNAcentral
GUGGGGAAUAUUGGACAAUGGGCGCAAGCCUGAUCCAGCAAUGCCGCGUGCAGGAAGAAGGCCUUCGGGUUGUAAACUGCUUUUGUACGGAACGAAACGGUCCUGGUUAAUACCUGGGGCUAAUGACGGUACCGUAAGAAUAAGCACCGGCUAACUACGUGCCAGCAGCCGCGGUAAUACGUAGGGUGCAAGCGUUAAUCGGAAUUACUGGGCGUAAAGCGUGCGCAGGCGGUUUUGUAAGACAGGCGUGAAAUCCCCGGGCUCAACCUGGGAAUUGCGCUUGUGACUGCAAGGCUGGAGUGCGGCAGAGGGGGAUGGAAUUCCGCGUGUAGCAGUGAAAUGCGUAGAUAUGCGGAGGAACACCGAUGGCGAAGGCAAUCCCCUGGGCCUGCACUGACGCUCAUGCACGAAAGCGUGGGGAGCAAACAGGAUUAGAAACCCGUGUAGUCC